UACAGAGGAUGCAAGCGUUAUCCGGAAUGAUUGGGCGUAAAGCGUCUGUAGGUAGCUUUUUAAGUCCGCCGUCAAAUCCCAGGGCUCAACUCUGGACAGGCGGUGGAAACUACCAAGCUGGAGUACGGUAGGGGCAGAGGGAAUUUCCGGUGGAGCGGUGAAAUGCGUAGAGAUCGGAAAGAACACCAACGGCGAAAGCGAGGCCCUGGACCCUUACUGACGCUGAGACGCGAAAGCCAGGGGAGCGAACGGG
RNAcentral lists this ribosomal RNA (253 nucleotides) under uncultured bacterium. Its description in RNAcentral is "partial 16S ribosomal RNA". It matches the Rfam family "Bacterial small subunit ribosomal RNA", at positions 524 to 776 of the family's 1533-position model. The record is from RNAcentral.